AGGAUCCGUUGUUGAAGUUUUGACUAUUAGUAAUAAUCUGGUGUGACAAGUUGAUAAAAAAUUGGUUGUAAGUUUAGACCUCUGGCGGCAGGCUGGGCCCACCGCCAAAGCAAGUUUGUUUCAAAGAAAAACACAUGUGGUGCAAUUAAGCAAAUCAGUAAUGAUCCUUCCGCAGGUUCACCUACGGAAAUCGAAUUCCCGCUGCCACC
RNAcentral lists this ribosomal RNA (209 nucleotides) under uncultured fungus. Its description in RNAcentral is "partial 18S ribosomal RNA". The record is from RNAcentral. Lineage: Eukaryota; Fungi.